This is a non-coding RNA of Talpa occidentalis (Iberian mole), 366 nucleotides long. The record is from the annotation of a RefSeq genome assembly. Lineage: Eukaryota; Metazoa; Chordata; Mammalia; Eulipotyphla; Talpidae.
AUGGCGCCCUCCAGCCUGCUGUGGGCCCUGGUGGCCUUCACCUGCUCUGGAACCGUUGUUUCCCAGAAAGUUAUUCAAGACCAGCCAGCUAUAGCCAAAAGAGAGGGGUUGGAAGUCACUCUGAGGUGUCAGUAUCAAACAAGCCAGACUGGCUACGUCCUUUAUUGGUACAAGCAACUUCCCGAUGGAAAGAUGACUUUCCUUGCUUAUCAGUCUUCUUCUUCUCAAAAGAAUGCUGUAGACCGUCGCUAUACUACAAACCUCCAGAAAACAGAAAAAACCAUCUCCCUCAUCAUUUCACCUUUGCAACUGGAAGAUUCAGCCAAGUAUUUCUGUGCUCUCAGAGAUGCACUGUGUUUGAAGUGA